RNAcentral lists this ribosomal RNA (445 nucleotides) under uncultured bacterium. RNAcentral describes it as "bacterial SSU rRNA". It matches the Rfam family "Bacterial small subunit ribosomal RNA", at positions 330 to 792 of the family's 1533-position model. The record is from RNAcentral.
UCCAGACUCCUACGGGAGGCAGCAGUGGGGGAUAUUGCACAAUGGGGGGAACCCUGAUGCAGCGACGCCGCGUGGGUGAAGGAGUACUUCGGUACGUAAAGCCCUAUCAGCAGGAAAGAAAAUGACGGUACCUGACUAAGAAGCCCCGGCUAACUACGUGCCAGCAGCCGCGGUAAUACGUAGGGGGCAAGCGUUAUCCGGAUUUACUGGGUGUAAAGGGAGCGUAGACGGCAGAGCAAGUCUGAAGUGAAAGCCCGCGGCCCAACUGCGGGACUGCUUUGGAAACUGCCCGGCUAGAGUGCUGGAGAGGUAAGCGGAAUUCCUAGUGUAGCGGUGAAAUGCGUAGAUAUCAGGAGGAACACCGGUGGCGAAGGCGGCCUACUGGACUGCAACUGACGUUGAGGCCCGAAAGCGUGGGGAGCAAACAGGAUUAGAUACCCUUGUA